AACGAACGCUGGCGGCAGGCUUAACACAUGCAAGUCGAACGCCCCGCAAGGGGAGUGGCAGACGGGUGAGUAACACGUGGGAACGUACCCUUUACUACGGAAUAACGCAUGGAAACGUGUGCUAAUACCGUAUGUGCCCUUAGGGGGAAAGAUUUAUCGGUAAAGGAUCGGCCCGCGUUGGAUUAGCUAGUUGGUGGGGUAAAGGCCUACCAAGGCGACGAUCCAUAGCUGGUCUGAGAGGAUGAUCAGCCACAUUGGGACUGAGACACGGCCCAAACUCCUACGGGAGGCAGCAGUGGGGAAUAUUGGACAAUGGGCGCAAGCCUGAUCCAGCCAUGCCGCGUGAGUGAUGAAGGCCUUAGGGUUGCAAAGCUCUUUCACCGGAGAAGAUAAUGACGGUAUCCGGAGAAGAAGCCCCGGCUAACUUCGUGCCAGCAGCCGCCGUAA
RNAcentral lists this ribosomal RNA (447 nucleotides) under uncultured bacterium. RNAcentral's name for it is "partial 16S ribosomal RNA". It matches the Rfam family "Bacterial small subunit ribosomal RNA", at positions 29 to 523 of the family's 1533-position model. The record is from RNAcentral.